This 424-nucleotide ribosomal RNA is filed under the name uncultured bacterium. RNAcentral's name for it is "bacterial SSU rRNA". It matches the Rfam family "Bacterial small subunit ribosomal RNA", at positions 355 to 796 of the family's 1533-position model. The record is from RNAcentral.
UGGGGAAUCUUGCACAAUGGGGGCAACCCUGAUGCAGCGACGCCGCGUGAGUGAUGAAGCCCUUCGGGGCGUAAAGCUCUUUCGGCAGGGACGAUUAUGACGGUACCUGCAGAAGCAGCUGCGGCUAACUACGUGCCAGCAGCCGCGGUAAUACGUAGGCAGCAAGCGUUGUUCGGAGUUACUGGGCGUAAAGGGUGCGUAGGCGGCUUUUUAAGUUUGGUGUGAAAUCUCCUGGCUUAACCGGGAGGGUGCGCCGAAUACUGAGAAGCUAGAGUAUGGGAGAGGAAAGUGGAAUUCCUGGUGUAGCGGUGAAAUGCGUAGAUAUCAGGAGGAACACCUGUGGUGUAGACGGCUUUCUGGACCAUAACUGACGCUGAGGCACGAAAGCGUGGGUAGCAAACAGGAUUAGAUACCCCCGUAGUCC